RNAcentral lists this ribosomal RNA (241 nucleotides) under uncultured Pseudomonadales bacterium. RNAcentral's name for it is "partial 16S ribosomal RNA". It matches the Rfam family "Bacterial small subunit ribosomal RNA", at positions 90 to 334 of the family's 1533-position model. Lineage: Bacteria; Pseudomonadati; Pseudomonadota; Gammaproteobacteria; Pseudomonadales. The record is from RNAcentral.
ACCUAGCGGCGGACGGGUGAGUAAUGCUUAGGAAUCUGCCUAUUAGUGGGGGACAACGUUCCGAAAGGAACGCUAAUACCGCAUACGUCCUACGGGGGAAAGCAGGGGAUCUUCGGACCUUGCGCUAAUAGAUGAGCCUAAGUCGGAUUAGCUAGUUGGUGGGGUAAAGGCCUACCAAGGCGACGAUCUGUAGCGGGUCUGAGAGGAUGAUCCGCCACACUGGGACUGAGACACGGCCCAG